UGGGGCUUUGGACAGUUAGAAUCUGCUGCA
This 30-nucleotide non-coding RNA is filed under the name Rattus norvegicus (Norway rat). The record is from RNAcentral. Lineage: Eukaryota; Metazoa; Chordata; Mammalia; Rodentia; Muridae.